This 472-nucleotide ribosomal RNA is filed under the name uncultured bacterium. RNAcentral describes it as "bacterial SSU rRNA". It matches the Rfam family "Bacterial small subunit ribosomal RNA", at positions 355 to 825 of the family's 1533-position model. The record is from RNAcentral.
UGGGGAGUAUUGCGCAAUGGGCGAAAGCCUGACGCAGCCAUGCCGCGUGAGUGAAGAAGGCCUUCGGGUUGUAAAGCUCUUUCGGACGGAACGAAAUGGUCAGGGUGAAUAUCCCUGACUGAUGACGGUACUGUAAGAAGAAGCACCGGCUAACUACGUGCCAGCAGCCGCGGUAAUACGUAGGGUGCGAGCGUUAAUCGGAAUUACUGGGUUUAAAGGGUGCGUAGGCGGUCGUAUAAGUCGGAUGUGAAAGCCCUUGGCUCAACCAAGGAACUGCGUCCGAUACUGUACGGCUUGAGGCUGGUAGGGGGUAGCGGAAUUCCCGGUGUAGCGGUGGAAUGCGUAGAUAUCGGGAGGAACACCGAUGGCGAAAGCGGCUACCUGGGCCAGAUCUGACGCUGAGGCGCGAAAGCUAGGGGAGCAAACAGGAUUAGAUACCCUAGUAGUCCCUGAGCGGGCUGGCAAGGCGCAU